UCUGCCGCAACGCCGAAUCCUGCCAGCGGCCGUACGGGAACAGUCGUCGCUUCACAGCGCCGUAGGCAGGAGCGGGGGACCCAAGGUAAGUGCCCCACCGGGUGGUUGACGGUGGUGGCUCGGGGUGUAGCCGCGGCUCGCGAGAGCGAGUCCGCGGCCGGGCAACUCAACCGGCCCGAACCCGACAGCUCACCUCGCAGGCGUCGGUGAGGGGAUCC
Molecule: small RNA, 218 nt
Filed under: Streptomyces sp.
Lineage: Bacteria; Bacillati; Actinomycetota; Actinomycetes; Kitasatosporales; Streptomycetaceae
Description: c-di-AMP sequence
Rfam family: c-di-AMP riboswitch aptamer (ydaO/yuaA leader) (bases 48-218)
About the family: This family represents a conserved RNA structure found upstream of the ydaO and yuaA genes in Bacillus subtilis and related genes in other bacteria. The ydaO/yuaA element is thought to act as a genetic "off" switch for the ydaO and yuaA genes in its native state.
Source: RNAcentral